Molecule: ribosomal RNA, 803 nt
Filed under: Enterococcus sp. A07_49
Lineage: Bacteria; Bacillati; Bacillota; Bacilli; Lactobacillales; Enterococcaceae
Description: bacterial SSU rRNA
Rfam family: Bacterial small subunit ribosomal RNA
Source: RNAcentral
ACCGGAAAAAGAGGAGUGGCGAACGGGUGAGUAACACGUGGGUAACCUGCCCAUCAGAAGGGGAUAACACUUGGAAACAGGUGCUAAUACCGUAUAACAAUCAAAACCGCAUGGUUUUGAUUUGAAAGGCGCUUUCGGGUGUCGCUGAUGGAUGGACCCGCGGUGCAUUAGCUAGUUGGUGAGGUAACGGCUCACCAAGGCCACGAUGCAUAGCCGACCUGAGAGGGUGAUCGGCCACAUUGGGACUGAGACACGGCCCAAACUCCUACGGGAGGCAGCAGUAGGGAAUCUUCGGCAAUGGACGAAAGUCUGACCGAGCAACGCCGCGUGAGUGAAGAAGGUUUUCGGAUCGUAAAACUCUGUUGUUAGAGAAGAACAAGGAUGAGAGUAACUGUUCAUCCCUUGACGGUAUCUAACCAGAAAGCCACGGCUAACUACGUGCCAGCAGCCGCGGUAAUACGUAGGUGGCAAGCGUUGUCCGGAUUUAUUGGGCGUAAAGCGAGCGCAGGCGGUUUCUUAAGUCUGAUGUGAAAGCCCCCGGCUCAACCGGGGAGGGUCAUUGGAAACUGGGAGACUUGAGUGCAGAAGAGGAGAGUGGAAUUCCAUGUGUAGCGGUGAAAUGCGUAGAUAUAUGGAGGAACACCAGUGGCGAAGGCGGCUCUCUGGUCUGUAACUGACGCUGAGGCUCGAAAGCGUGGGGAGCAAACAGGAUUAGAUACCCUGGUAGUCCACGCCGUAAACGAUGAGUGCUAAGUGUUGGAGGGUUUCCGCCCUUCAGUGCUGCAGCUAACGCAUUAAGCACU